Manis pentadactyla (Chinese pangolin) is the source of this 8688-nucleotide long non-coding RNA. RefSeq lists it as uncharacterized. The record is from RefSeq and is a predicted model, not a curated record. Lineage: Eukaryota; Metazoa; Chordata; Mammalia; Pholidota; Manidae. The transcript has 5 exons.
CCGCGGUACCCGCCGAGAGACCUGGCCCGGUGAUCGCGGUGUGGCCUCGCACCAGUGCCCGGGGCUGUGAGGAGAAUGCGGGUGGGAGGAAGCCGAACGGGACGCAUCUGGAGGAUGGAACCCCAUCAUAAACUGAAGAUCUAUGCACAUAAAUCAACUUUUUCAGUGGGCCCUGGAACUUGAGAGUCUAGGGAUGGUUUGAAGCAAAAAUUAGAUUUCUACAAUACAACAAAAAAUCGUUGAAGAGGAAAUCAGUGAACUGGAAGAUAGUACUGAGAAAAUCCCUCUGAAUGCAGCACAGAAACAUUGAGAAACAGAGACUACCGAAGACAUAUAUUGUUUGAGAAUCUCUGUCAUAUAUGUAGUGGAGUUCCAGAGAAAGAGAACAUAAAGAAUAGGGAAAAAGAAGAUAUUAAAAGUUAUCAUGGCUAAGUAUUUUCUGUAGUUUCAGAUAGAUCAAAAUAGCAAGUCUGAAAGAGCUCAUUGGAAUUGAAGAAUAGGCUAAAAGAAAACCUUACAUGCUAAUCAAAAGAAAAAUCAUAUUGCUCAUAAAGGAAUUAUAUUUAGAAUGACAAAACAAUUCUGUUUGUUAGCAAAGGGUGCCACAAAACACUGAAACAUCUCUAAAGUGCUGAGGAAAAAUCUACUUUUUACCUGAUACUCUAUGUCCAUCUAACCUACCAUAGAAGAAUUAAAAUAGAGACAUCUCAGAUAUCUAAAAAGUAAGUUUUACUACUCAUAGAUUGCUUUGUAAACUACUAAUUAUUGCAAUUCAACAAGAGGGAAAUUAAACAUGAAAGAAAGCUUUGAAAUCAAGAAGCAAUGGAAAAGCAAAGAAAGUGGAAUUAUGUUGGAUAAAUUACAAAUGCCACUGAACACCAUCCAGCCAUCCUGUAUUUCAUAUCAAGGUAUCAAGCAGUUUGAUCUAAGUUGAUAUUGAACAGGUAUAGGGUCUUAGGCUAUACUGAGAUCUGUUUUGGGCUUGAAAAGAUGGAGUUUUUACAGAUAGAACUGAGAUAUAUUUUAAAUGUUCUUCAGGUGCAUGUGUGUUCGUGUGUGUGCACGCACAUGUGUAUGUUUGAAAGAGAGUCACAUCAAUAUGCUGACAAGUCUUCCCUUCUCCAGUCAGGAAAUUUGUGGUCAGCAAAAGACCAAAUCAUGGAUAUGCAGGCAUCAGUGCUUCAGCACUGUUUUUCCCAUGUUUAUUUACCUGCUGCUUCCUUUCUCCGGCCUUACACUUCACUCAUCUCACCCCUGUUCCCUGUUCUCUGUCCCUACUGGUAGUGGCCCUCUCACUGAUUGUUAGGCACUAGGUGAGGAGAAAAAAAGCUAUUCAGUAUAUCACUAUUGUAGAACCAUUUGGCACUAGUUACAUCUAAUCUAGAGUCACUGACCACUAUUAAACAUGGAUUUUUGCCUCUUUUUAAGAUCAUAUUAUAUUCAAUAUAUAGCUUGAAGAUGAAAUGAAAUUCGCCAGACUUUGGAGAAGUAGGUCUCCUGUAACUGACACAAUGUACCUAGAAUAUACGAGUCAUUGCUAGCCUGCUAAGCACCGCUUCACACCAUCCACCAAGUUCCCAUGCAAUUCCCUUUCAGGAAAACCCACUCUACUGGGGUCCAAGCAGGGCCUUACUGGAUGGUGACUUUUGGUGUAGUGACAUGUUAUUCUGGCCUCAGUGAUCUGAUUCAUUGCUUCGAGCCUCAUUCUCUUCUUCAGGUCACAUUGUUUACUUGUCUCUUUCAUCUUGUGAGGGACUACUGCGUUCACAGCACACCACAUUCUGAGCACUGACGUCAAUGAUCUGAUGGUUUCCAGGCAGUUGGCAGAGAUCUGCUCACAGUUCUAUCACUCAUCCGCUUGAACGAUCAUAAAGAGAAAGCCAAGCAGACCCCUUUCCACACUUGUGCUAUUUUUAUUCUUAGCACUCUACUGAGACUUGGCAACAGCCAGUGAAACCAGGAGCUAUUUUGUUUGGACUAGGUCAGCAGUCAUCCUCGGAGAUGUUCAUCUAUCUUGUUUGUUAUGGCACAGCGGUCUCUGUUCCAACAUUCCGUCUGAAUCAUAGAUGGCUUGGAUAAAUCCACCUUGAUAAAUCACAUAGAGAGCUGAAUCACAGGCAUUAACUUUUGAAAUUCACAUUUAAAUCGAGCAUUAUUAAUAAAAUGGAACUGGUAUAUGCCUACCAACAUUAUUUCUUAGUUAAGAACUAAGAAACAAGGAUGCAAGCUCAAAGAAUUCCAGUUUCUCUAAACUAUCAAGAGAUGUUUAAGUAUAUGGCUUUUUAGAAAGACCGGUUUCACUGUUCUUAGAGUUCUAAUUAUAUUAAAGAAGGUGUUAUUUCUUUUUUUGAUGUAUCAAAGUUGAGUGAUUUUUUUUUAAAGGAAGGAAUAAUUAGGGAAAUGAGGUGUCCUCUGUAGAAUUAAGCUAGGAUCCUCUUAGUAAAGUUUGUGUGUAGAUCUCUAACCACACUUUGUGUUUUGACUUUCAUGCUUAUUCUCUUGCUUAUUAUUCUCUUUAAAAAUACAGGUUUCCUAUGAUAUUCAGACUUCUUUAUGAGUUCUAGUGUCACUGCAAUAUGCCUCUCAUCCUAUCUUCAGAUCAUCACUUCUGCGUUUUCCACCUUUGGUACCUACUGAGGUCUUCACAACCAUCUCAUGAGGCUGCACAAGGAAGGGAGUGUGACAGAUUCCCAAAGUGUCCUUCAAGGUGGUGGCAAAAAAAGCCAUAGGACAGAAAGUCAGAGCUCCCCCCUCCACUUGUCCGUGGAAUGACUCCUCGUUCCAUCUUCUCUUCAGCACGCAUAGAUUGUCCCUGAGGAUGCUUGCAGAACUCGAAGUAUCAGCCAGAAUGCCAGCUUUAAAUCACCGUGAGGAAUGCAACUAUCAAGCUCUCUGGCAACUCAUGUUUGUUGAUCGCUACCUUCUCUCCCUGUGGGCAAAGCUACGUGGGAUGUUAAAUUGAUAGUUGGGAGAUGGGUUGAAAAAGAAGAAUUGGAACAAAAGGUACUAGAUGAGGUGACUGGGCAUGACAGGUUGCAAUGGCCGGUUGCAUUCAUUUCUGCUUUGGGUGUUCAGCGGCCAGAGGCCUCUGCAGGUUGAAUCCCUGGGCCAGGCAGGGCACAGACUCUCUCAGGCAGUGCACUGCAGUAGAGUUCAAAACUUGUCACUGCACUUGACGCACCUGAACAAUUUAAAAAAUUUUAAGACCGAGAUAUUUAGUAUCUACAAAAACUGUUUUUGAAAUAUAUAUAAGGUGUAAAGAAAAAAAUAGUAAACAUCUACUUAUCUACUGUCCAGGCAAGAAACAGAGCGUUGUCAAGAAUGUUGAAAUUUCUCGUGUGUCCCAUUUCCUUUCUUAAAUAACUGUGGUCUAGCAUUUGGGGUUUACAACUUCAUGUCUUUUCAUAACAGCAUUACAUUUUCCUUGACCCUCUAAACAACUUAUUGUCUUUAUAUGAAUGGAAUCAGGUGGUACAUAUUUUUUAACAAACUGGUUUUUUUUUUUAAUUCAUGAUAUUUUGUAUAGCUGAAAUUCAUUAAAUUUGACUAGGGCAUAGAAAUUCAUUGUAAUAACACAUAAUUCAUUUAUCUAUACUAUUAUUGACAGGCAUUUGGGUUGUUCAGAAUUUGGUGAGAUAAUAAACAGUGCUGCUAUGUACAUUUUGGGGUAUUUCUCUUGGUGCAUAUGUGCAUGGAUUUCCAGGAGUGGAAUUCUUGGGUCCUGGGUAUACACAUUUUCAAUUUUAGUACGCAAUGACAAAUUAUGUUGUAAAGUGGUUGUAGAAACUAUUGAAUCUUCUAUCAGCAGUAUAAAAUUCAUGCUUUUUCCACAUCCUCACCAGCAUGUAAUGUUGCCGGACUUUAAUCUCCAUGAUGGGUAUGAUGUUUUAUCUCAUUGCAGUUUGAAUUUACACUUCAUUGUUUCUAAUGUUGAGCAUCUUUUCAUAUGUUCCUUUCCAUUUGUGAUUAUUUACCUGCAAAUUUCUUAUUCAAAAUCUUGCCCUUUUAUUGAAUUUUUAAAUUUGUUUUUAAUUGAUUUGUAGGAGGGUGGGUUUUGUUUUGUUUUGCUUAAAUUUAUUUCGGAUAUUAAUCUUUUGUCAGUUUUGUGUGUCAAAAAUCUCUUUUUCCAGUUUGUGUAUUUUUUUCUUUUAAUUAUUCUUACAUCUUUUAAAUGAAAUGAUAGAAUUUAACUUUUCCUUUAUGGCUUGUGUUUAAAAAAAUUCUUCCUUAUAUGGGGGUCAUAAAGAUAUUCUCCUAUGUUGUUAGCUUUGCUGUUUUCAUUGAAGACUUUAAUAGAACUGGUUUAAAAUAGUGUGAUAGGGAUAUAAUUUUAUUUUUUCAUCUGUGGAUACCCACAUAUGCCAUGAUAAUUUGUUGAACAGUAUAUUCUUUCUUCAAUGAUCUGCUCAAUAAUAUAUCAAUAUCAAAGAUCCACUGAGUAGAUCUGUUUUGGAGCUUUCUAUUGUGCUUCAUUUGAUAAUCCUAUGAUGACCCCUUUAUCAUAUUAUUAUGGCUUUAUAAUAAUCGAAAUAUGUGAUAAAAUAUCACAUAUUUUGCUCAUCCAUAUACAUUUUUAAAUCAGCUUCCCAAGUACCACAACAUGCCUGUUGGGAUUUUGAUGGGAAUAUUAUUGAAAUUACCAGUCAGUUUGGGAAGAAUUGGUGUUUUUAUGGUAUCAAGUCUUCUUAUCCAUGUAUAUGAUGUAUUUAUCUAUGUUUACUUAGUUUUUAAAAUAAAGUUUUAUAUGAUUUUCUUUGUAAGGUUCUUGAACAGUUUUGUUAUAUUUAUUCCUGUUUUAUAAUUUUGAUGUUAUUGUAUAUUUUAAAUUUUUUAUUUUAUAUUUAUUGAUAUUUAUUUUUAUAUAAUGAGUUUUAUAUCCUGCAGCUGUGCUAAAUUACCUUGUGAAUUUUAGUAACUUAUCUGUAGCUUCUUUUAGAUUUCUAAUAUAUAGCUUAUAUCCACAAAUAAUGACACUUUUCUUUCUUUCUUUUUAAUCCUCAUAACUUUAGUUACUUUUUUAGCCUGUUUACUGGAUAUUCCCUCCAGUAUACUAUUAUAUAAAUGGGUCUAGUGGAUGCCCUCAUCUUCUUCCUAAGCUCAAAGGGAAUGCUUUAAAUAUUUUACCAUUAAAUAUGAUGCUAGUUGUAAGUUUCCUAUAACUACCCUUUGUCAGUUUAAGGAAGCCCUCUUCUAUUCCUAACUUAUAAUUUUUUUAAUUUAGAAAAGGAUGUGGAAUUUUAUCAAUUACUUUUUCUAUUUCUAUUGAGAUGAUUGUGUGAUUUCUCCUUUCAUCAGUUAGUACAAUAAUAUACAUUAAUUGAUUUCUUAUGUAAAACCAAAUUUACACUCCUGAGAUCAAACAAAUGAUGUAUUAUCUUAAAACACACACACACACACACACACUUCUGGAUUGUGUUUGUUAAUAUUCUAAUUUUUGUAUCUGUGUUCAUGAGGAAGAUUGAUCUGCAAUUUUGUUCUCAUAUUUCACUGAGUUUUGUAUGAAAGUUUUACUAGCCUAUUAAAGUGGCCUAAGGGCAAUCCCACCUUUCUGUUCACUUAGAUAAUUCAUGAGAUUGGAAUUGUUUUUCCUUGAAUAUUUGUGGACUUGUUUUAUCCUUGACUAUUUGCUGGAAAUUGCUAGCAGCACCUACUGGACCUGGUUUUUCUGUAGGAAGAUUUUAAACUUCUAAUUUAAUUUCCCUAUGGCUAUAUAACUAUUCAUAUUUCCCAUUUCUCCCUAAAUAAAUUUUGGUAAUCUUUUUUUUUUUCUUCUAGAGGUUUAUCCAUUUCAUCUGAGUUUUCAAACACAUCACAAAAAGUUGUUGAUAAUACCCACCCAUUAUCUUUUUAGUCUUUGAAGUAUUGUUGAUUUUUUAUUCCCAAUAUUGUUUAUUAGUGUCUUUUCACCUUUGCAAAACUUUUUCAGAGAUGUUUUUCUAUUUUAUGUGUUCUGUCAAAGAAUCUUGAUUUAUUUUUUUACCCUGGUAUUUUUUCCAGGAAAUUUGUCUACUCUCUUAUAGAGUCAUUUCCUCUGUCAAGCAAUGGCAUUCAGCAUUUCGUAUUACUCUGGACACCUCAAAGACGACUUUUUAUUUCACAAGUAUUUUAAAUGCUUCUUAAGUAUAAAUUUAGGUAGAAUUCAAUUUGGAAAAAAAAUUAUGAAGCCAGUUUAAUUGAGGAUUUAGGAUAUUAAAUGCUGCCUUGUAUAACCUUAAGUAGGCAGUUGAGUGCUCAUACAAACCUUUCACUAUUUUUGCAAGCUUUUGCAGGCAGGCCUGAACAGGUUGGUUUUCAAAUCCUCUAAGCAAUCUACCAGCACAAACACAGCAAGCACCAGAAAGGACAAACAGAACCCUAGCUGUUUCAACCAGUGCCGGAGAUAAAGGGUGAGAUUAAGUCAGAAAGUCAUAGGAUCUAUGUUUCCAGCCUUAUUGUACAUCGCACCCCUCACCUUCCCCUGCCAGCUACAUGAAGUCAUACAUUGGUAUCCAGGCAGGACCUGUACUUGCUUGCUUUGCUUCCAUUCUUUCCUCAGCCUGGAAUUCUUUUCUUAUGUUUGUUUUGCCCCAAACAAAUCUAUCCUGAUAUGAUGGGUACUUGUUAGGUUUAUGCCUAGCCUAUACUCCUCCUUUUUUUUGAGUUCCUUUCACUUUCAGGAUUUGAGGUCCUCAGGCACUUUAGUGCCUUCUGCUCCUGGGUUAUUCCCUACUCCUCUACCCUGACCAUUGCUAAUAUGACCAGGUUGGACACCUGACUGAAGUUGAAACUCUCAGGUCCUUUCUUCUCAUAAUUUAGAACUGUAAUUCAGAAGUUUUAGUGAGUCUUUGAUGGCCACCCUUGGACCUAGAUCGCGCAGGCUUUGGGGCUGAGGACGUCAUUCUGCAGCAGCCAUGAUGCAAGUAGUAAAAAACCAUCCCAUAAUAGAAGUUAAGGGUAGAUGCCCAAAGAAAGGGAAGAUUGUAGACUUUGUGACUCUGAAAGGCUAGACACAUAUAUUAAGCUCUAUUCCAUGGUGCACUAGAUUCCUGAUUCCAGUCCAGAUUAUCACUGAUCUGGCAGCAAGCUUUCCCGGAGCUCUGUUUUCAGUCUCAGAGUCUUACUCCUACCUUCAGCUAUACCUGGAGAUCCAUACCCACAGCCUUCUGGUCCUUCUCACCAAUGUACAGGUGUCCAGUCUUCUGCCAAGGCUGAGUUCAGGGAAUUCAGACUUUGGAAGCUCAUCUCAGGUCCUGAUUGCUUCUUGUACAAUCCUUCAACCAGUUCUGUUCUCAGUCUACCACAAUCAGGCCCAUUUUUUAGUUAGGUUUCCUUUUUAUUAUUGAGAAGUCACUGUUUUUUAUAUAUUCCAGAUAUGAUUCCUUUAUCAGAUAUAUGAUUUGCAAAGAUUUUUCUCUAGUUCUGUAAGUUGUCUUUUCACUUUUUUGAUGAGGCCCUUUAGGGGGCAGAAGUUUUUAGUUUUGAUGGAGUCUAAUUAGCUGUUUUUCUUUUGUCGCUUGUGCUUUGGUGUCAUAUCUAAGUCCACUGCCAAACCCAAUGUCACAUCGGUUUACACUUAACAUUCAGGCUUUCUUCUAGGACUUUUGCAGUUUUGUCUCUCAUACUUAUGUCUUUGAUCCAUUUUGAGUGAGUUUUGUAGAUGGUGUGAGAUGAGUGAAACUUCAUUCCUUUGCAUGUGGCUACCCAAGUGUCUCUGCACCAUUUAUUGAAAAGACAAUUCUUUCCCCAUUGAAUGAUCUUGGCAGCCUUGUUGAAAAUCACUCAUCCAUUGAUAAGUGGGUUUAUUUCUGGACUUUUACUUCUAUUCCAUUGAUUUUUGUGUCUAACUGAGGUCAGUGCCACACUUUCCUGAUUACUGUUUUUUUGUAGUAAGUGUUGAGAUUGGGAAUUGUUAAGCCCUUCAACUUGGUUCUUCUUUUUCAAGAUUGUUUUGGCUAUUCUGGGUCCCUUGAAUUUCUAUGACUUUUAAUAUGAGCUUGUCAAUUUCUGUAAAGAAACCAGGUGGAAUUCUGAUAGAUUGCAUUGAAUUUGUAGAUCAAUUUAAGAAGUUCCUCAGCUCUAUCUUCCAUUUCCUCCAUGAAAUGUUUCUUGGGUGGAGUAAUAUUUAUGUCUCCUUUUCAUAAGAUUUUUUGAAUAAGGAUAGAAUAAAGUGAAGUUCUGUAACUUUAAAAUGUAAAACCUUUAUACAGAUGAGAAAAUUGUAGGAAUGGGAAAAUACAUGUUUGGGAAAUCUCCUAUUUUAAAUUAAAGAGAUAUUUUAUAUGAUAUUUUUCUAGAAUUUUCCAUUUUUUUCCUAAGGAACAGAAUACAGAGCAAAAAAUUUGAAACAGGGAAAUUGCCAUAUUUAAUAUAUUUAAAUCCUUUUUUGGGGGGGUAAAAAAAUCUCUAUACAGGAAACAAGGACAUAUAUAGCUUAUAAUUCAGUUUGUAUUCCAAGUGAACAGUAAAUAAACUUCAAAAUUUUUUCAUUCCACUGGAACAAAAUACCAGAAAUGUUGUAAAGCUUGGCAAAAGGAAUCAUUUUUGAAAGGUAGUAAACAUUAUUAUUUGUUUUAAUAUUGUUAAUAGUGAUAGCUGUAAUAUUAUUUAUGAUUUACACAACCCUUUUACAUUUUAUAAACUAAGUUCAUACACUUUAUCUCUCUAUAUUAUAUCUCUUCUCCAUCUAUUUUAAAUUAGUCUUGCUUAACC